GACGAACGCUGGCGGCGUGCCUAAUACAUGCAAGUCGAACGAACCGCGACUAAGUGCUUGCACUAAGUCAAGGUGAGUGGCGAACGGGUGAGUAACACGUGGGUAACCUACCUCAUAGUGGGGGAUAACAGUCGGAAAUGACUGCUAAUACCGCAUAGGACAUAGGAUCACAUGAUCCAGUGAGGAAAGGUGGCGCAAGCUAUCGCUAAGAGAUGGACCCGCGGUGCAUUAGCUAGUUGGUAGGGUAAAGGCCUACCAAGGCGAUGAUGCAUAGCCGACCUGAGAGGGUGAUCGGCCACAUUGGGACUGAGACACGGCCCAAACUCCUACGGGAGGCAGCAGUAGGGAAUCUUCCGCAAUGGACGCAAGUCUGACGGAGCAACGCCGCGUGAGUGAAGAAGGUCUUCGGAUCGUAAAGCUCUGUUGUUAGAGAAGAACAGCGCAUAGAGUA
RNAcentral lists this ribosomal RNA (451 nucleotides) under Abiotrophia defectiva. RNAcentral describes it as "bacterial SSU rRNA". It matches the Rfam family "Bacterial small subunit ribosomal RNA", at positions 28 to 463 of the family's 1533-position model. Lineage: Bacteria; Bacillati; Bacillota; Bacilli; Lactobacillales; Aerococcaceae. The record is from RNAcentral.